GGGCCUGUAGCUCAGAGGUAGAGCGUCCACCCCGUGGAGGUGGCAGGCCGCGGGUUCGAGCCCCGCCAGGCCCUCCG
Molecule: transfer RNA, 77 nt
Filed under: Chitinophagaceae bacterium
Lineage: Bacteria; Pseudomonadati; Bacteroidota; Chitinophagia; Chitinophagales; Chitinophagaceae
Description: tRNA-His
Rfam family: tRNA
About the family: Transfer RNA (tRNA) molecules are approximately 80 nucleotides in length. Their secondary structure includes four short double-helical elements and three loops (D, anti-codon, and T loops).
Source: RNAcentral